AUUGAACGCUGGCGGCAUGCCUUACACAUGCAAGUCGAACGGCAGCACGGGAGCAAUCCUGGUGGCGAGUGGCGAACGGGUGAGUAAUGUGUCGGAACGUGCCCAGUCGUGGGGGAUAACGCAGCGAAAGCUGUGCUAAUACCGCAUACGAUCUAUGGAUGAAAGCGGGGGAUCGCAAGACCUCGCGCGAUUGGAGCGGCCGAUAUCAGAUUAGGUAGUUGGUGGGGUAAAGGCCCACCAAGCCGACGAUCUGUAGCUGGUCUGAGAGGACGACCAGCCACACUGGAACUGAGACACGGUCCAGACUCCUACGGGAGGCAGCAGUGGGGAAUUUUGGACAAUGGGCGCAAGCCUGAUCCAGCAAUGCCGCGUGCAGGAUGAAGGCCUUCGGGUUGUAAACUGCUUUUGUACGGAACGAAACGGUUCUCUCUAAUACAGGGGGCUAAUGACGGUACCGUAAGAAUAAGCACCGGCUAACUACGUGCCAGCCGCCGCCGUAA
RNAcentral lists this ribosomal RNA (500 nucleotides) under uncultured bacterium. RNAcentral describes it as "partial 16S ribosomal RNA". It matches the Rfam family "Bacterial small subunit ribosomal RNA", at positions 30 to 523 of the family's 1533-position model. The record is from RNAcentral.